This 350-nucleotide unclassified non-coding RNA is filed under the name uncultured fungus. RNAcentral's name for it is "partial contains 5.8S ribosomal RNA and internal transcribed spacer 2". The stretch from base 1 to 134 matches the Rfam family "5.8S ribosomal RNA", at positions 22 to 154 of the family's 154-position model. The record is from RNAcentral. Lineage: Eukaryota; Fungi.
UGGUUCUGGCAUCGAUGAAGAGCGCAGCGAAAUGCGAUAAGUAAUGCGAAUUGCAGAAUUCCAGUGAGUCAUCGAAUCUUUGAACGCACAUUGCGCCCUUUGGCAUUCCGAAGGGCAUGCCUGUUCGAGCGUCGUUAUCACCCCUCAAGCCUCGCGCUUGGUGUUGGACGGCUCGGUCGCGGCGACGUGACCCCUCCUAAAGACAAUGACGGCGGCCUGUGGUUCCCCCGGUACGCUGAGCUUUUCAUCGAGCACGUAUCGGAUGAGGGCACCCGGUCCCCGGUCUUCUCCUCUUCACCGAGGAACGAUUUUACUAGGUUGACCUCGGAUCAGGUAGGAAUACGCGCUGA